Small nucleolar RNA from Protopterus annectens (West African lungfish), 134 nucleotides. RefSeq annotates it as small nucleolar RNA SNORA70. The record is from RefSeq and is a predicted model, not a curated record. The transcript has a single exon. NCBI's taxonomy places the organism in Eukaryota, Metazoa, Chordata, Ceratodontiformes, Protopteridae.
UUGCAGUCUCUUAAGCCGACCGACUGUUGUACUUCAUCAGUAGUUGGUAUGCACUGACUGCAUAAAUUAAUAUUCUUAGGUUGUGUAUGUGCUUAGUUAUGUACUGAGUACGCCAAGGGACCUUUGAAACAGGA